GAUGAAGAACGCAGCGAAAUGCGAUAAGUAGUGUGAAUUGCAGAAUUCAGUGAAUCAUCGAAUCUUUGAACGCACAUUGCGCCCCUCGGUAUUCCGGGGGGCAUGCCUGUCCGAGCGUCAUUGCAACCUUCAAGCGCGGCUUGUGUGUUGGGUCUCGUCCCCCUUCCCGGGGGGACGGGCCCGAAAGGCAGCGGCGGCACCGCGUCCGGUCCUCGAGCGUAUGGGGCUUUGUCACCCGCUCUGUAGGCCCGGCCGGCGCUUGCCGAUCAACCAAAACUUUUUUCCAGGUUGACCUCGGAUCAGGUAGGGAUACCCGCUGAACUUAAGCAUAUCAAUAAGCGGAGGA
RNAcentral lists this unclassified non-coding RNA (346 nucleotides) under soil metagenome. RNAcentral describes it as "partial contains 5.8S ribosomal RNA, internal transcribed spacer 2, and large subunit ribosomal RNA". The stretch from base 1 to 120 matches the Rfam family "5.8S ribosomal RNA", at positions 35 to 154 of the family's 154-position model. The record is from RNAcentral.